AGGUCGUUAGCUCAGUUGGUUAGAGCACCGGACUUUUAAUCCGGUUGUCAUUGGUUCGAGGCCAAUACGACCUA
This 74-nucleotide transfer RNA is filed under the name Erwinia phage Ea9-2. It matches the Rfam family "tRNA". From Rfam's summary of the family: Transfer RNA (tRNA) molecules are approximately 80 nucleotides in length. Their secondary structure includes four short double-helical elements and three loops (D, anti-codon, and T loops). RNAcentral also lists the same sequence under 1 other name. The record is from Rfam by way of RNAcentral. Lineage: Duplodnaviria; Heunggongvirae; Uroviricota; Caudoviricetes; Schitoviridae.